Molecule: transfer RNA, 75 nt
Filed under: Leptolyngbya sp.
Lineage: Bacteria; Bacillati; Cyanobacteriota; Cyanophyceae; Leptolyngbyales; Leptolyngbyaceae
Description: tRNA-Lys
Rfam family: tRNA
About the family: Transfer RNA (tRNA) molecules are approximately 80 nucleotides in length. Their secondary structure includes four short double-helical elements and three loops (D, anti-codon, and T loops). Further hydrogen bonds mediate the characteristic L-shaped molecular structure. tRNAs have two regions of fundamental functional importance: the anti-codon, which is responsible for specific mRNA codon recognition, and the 3' end, to which the tRNAs corresponding amino acid is attached (by aminoacyl-tRNA synthetases). tRNAs cope with the degeneracy of the genetic code in two manners: having more than one tRNA (with a specific anti-codon) for a particular amino acid; and 'wobble' base-pairing, i.e. permitting non-standard base-pairing at the 3rd anti-codon position.
Source: RNAcentral
GGGACGCUAGCUCAGUGGUAGAGCAUUCGGCUUUUAACCGACUGGUCCUGGGUUCGAAUCCCAGGCGUCCCAUCA